UGAGGUGUAGCUCAGCUGAAAGAACGUUUGCAUGGUAUGCAAAGUCCUGGGUUUGAUUCCCAGUACCUCAU
RNAcentral lists this transfer RNA (71 nucleotides) under Cricetulus griseus (Chinese hamster). It matches the Rfam family "tRNA". Rfam says of the family: Transfer RNA (tRNA) molecules are approximately 80 nucleotides in length. Their secondary structure includes four short double-helical elements and three loops (D, anti-codon, and T loops). Lineage: Eukaryota; Metazoa; Chordata; Mammalia; Rodentia; Cricetidae. The record is from Rfam by way of RNAcentral.